This 74-nucleotide transfer RNA is filed under the name Thermoplasmatota archaeon. RNAcentral describes it as "Candidatus Thermoplasmatota archaeon tRNA-Val". It matches the Rfam family "tRNA". From Rfam's summary of the family: Transfer RNA (tRNA) molecules are approximately 80 nucleotides in length. Their secondary structure includes four short double-helical elements and three loops (D, anti-codon, and T loops). The record is from RNAcentral. Lineage: Archaea; Methanobacteriati; Thermoplasmatota.
GGGCCAAUGGUCUAGGUGGUUAUGAUGUCGCCUUGACAUGGCGAUGACCGCCGGUUCGAAUCCGGCUUGGCCCA